Molecule: long non-coding RNA, 718 nt
Filed under: Erythranthe guttata (spotted monkey flower)
Lineage: Eukaryota; Viridiplantae; Streptophyta; Magnoliopsida; Lamiales; Phrymaceae
Description: long non-coding RNA (EGUT_LNC003496)
Source: RNAcentral
AAUCUAUUCCCCAGCCUGAACAAAAUGGUGCAUUCAGUAUCGAAUCUAAAGUGAGUAUAUAGUAGAUAUAUAAAUGUUCUGCUGGUUUUACCUUGCCUUGAGUUAUUAUGUUUGUGUAGUUGACUAAUAUAAUUGUUUGGCCUCACUUUUCCAUAUGUUAGGUGGACAGAGUAUAUCUCAACACUCAUGCGCUAAUGCUAUGAUCGCUUUUAUGGACUAAGACCGUAAAAAAUGCGAGCUUACAAUAUUCUUUCAUGACAUUGGUGAGAUUUUCAUAUAUAUAUAUAUAUAUAUUUCACGAUUAGAUAUAUGUAUUUCCCUUAUCUAUUUGGUUCAUAUUGAAUGUUUCUCAUUUUUGCAGCACACAGGAAACAAAAUUCCUAUUAUUCCUGAAUUCUCAAAUCUAGAAAGUUGUCAAUGACGCUCGAUGCGCCGGAGCUUCAUGAAGACGUGACAGCUUGAUGAAGACCUGAUGGUGUAUCCAUUGUUCUCAUAGUAUUUGCAGGUAAUCUGCUUUCCUCCAAAAACAAAAAAAUUGCAGGUAAUCCACUAUUUUCUCUUAUUUUUUAGAAUAUAAUCGGUACAAAUAUUGCAGCGUUAUACCAACCCAUUCAGGGUGCAUUAAUUUUCAAUGUAUAGUUUUACUGCUUAAAAAUGUUCCUCACAGACACGAGGGAUAAUUGCAUUUUGCAAUAAAAUUAUUGGGUUUAUCUAAGGG